Non-coding RNA from Pelobates cultripes (western spadefoot toad), 202 nucleotides. The record is from the annotation of a GenBank genome assembly. NCBI's taxonomy places the organism in Eukaryota, Metazoa, Chordata, Amphibia, Anura, Pelobatidae.
CAAAGAGUAACACAUUACACAUACACUAUUAUUAUUGGUAUUUAUAAAACACCAAUUUAUUCUGCAUCACUUUACAAUAACUAACAUGGCUGUUCCAUUUCCCUCUUGUAAUCCUACUUGUUACAAUAAGGCAUAACAUGGAUCUACAAUAUAACACUGUCCUGAGACCAUCAUACAUCUGCAUCUAUGAGCCAGGGUAGUG